GACGAACGCUGGCGGCGUGCUUAACACAUGCAAGUCGAACGGAAAGGCCCUGCUUUUGUGGGGUGCUCGAGUGGCGAACGGAUGAGUAACACGUGAGUAACCUGCCCUUGACUUUGGGAUAACUUCAGGAAACUGGGGCUAAUACCGGAUAGGAGCUCCUGCUGCAUGGUGGGGGUUGGAAAGUUUCGGCGGUUGGGGAUGGACUCGCGGCUUAUCAGCUUGUUGGUGGGGUAGUGGCUUACCAAGGCUUUGACGGGUAGCCGGCCUGAGAGGGUGACCGGCCACAUUGGGACUGGGGUACGGCCCAGACUGCUACGGGAGGCAGCAGUGGGGAAUAUUGCACAAUGGGCGGAAGCCGGAUGCAGCAACGCCGCGUGCGGGAUGACGGCCUUCGGGUUGGAAACCGCUUUCGCCUGUGACGAAGCGUGAGUGACGGUAAUGGGUAAAGAAGCACCGGCUAACUACGUG
RNAcentral lists this ribosomal RNA (468 nucleotides) under uncultured bacterium. Its description in RNAcentral is "partial 16S ribosomal RNA". It matches the Rfam family "Bacterial small subunit ribosomal RNA", at positions 28 to 507 of the family's 1533-position model. The record is from RNAcentral.